Molecule: ribosomal RNA, 402 nt
Filed under: Boophis luciae
Lineage: Eukaryota; Metazoa; Chordata; Amphibia; Anura; Mantellidae
Description: partial 16S ribosomal RNA
Rfam family: Bacterial large subunit ribosomal RNA
Source: RNAcentral
CCCCCCUCUAAUCAGUGAAAUUGAUCUCCCCGUGAAGAAGCGGGGAUAUAAAUAUAAGACGAGAAGACCCCAUGGAGCUUUAAACCCAACAACACCUAUNUAUUUUAUUCCCCCAUAUUUAUACGGUUAUGUUUGUUUGGUUUUAGGUUGGGGUGACCGCGGAGUAUAAAACAACCUCCACGAAGAAAAGACUAAUAAUCUUUAUCAGAGAAAGACAUUUCUAAGAAAUAAUAUAUUAACUUUAAAUGAUCCGAUAUUCGAUUAACGAAUCAAGUUACCCUGGGGAUAACAGCGCAAUCCACCUUAAGAGCCCUUAUCGACAGGUGGGUUUACGACCUCGAUGUUGGAUCAGGGUAUCACAGUGGUGCAGCAGCUACUAAUGGUUCGUUUGUUCAACGAUUA